AUUCUAGAAUUUUCUGACUAUCCGGAACUAAGGUUCAAGCUACCGAUGGAGCGACUUCCCCACAGCAGCCCUGCUGCCUUCCUGUCAGUGCUGUCUUGCCGAGUGAGACCAGGCUGAGGAAGGUCACAGACAGCUGAAUCUGGACCAGCGACACUUCCCAGGCUCCUCCUGCUGGGCCCAGGCCCCGACUACCCUGCCCUCUCUCACCACUUCCGCCAUGCUGCAGAGCCACCACAAGCUAAACUGCCAGCUGUGGGCGUCCUCAAGGAAAGCAACGGUACAUAGAAGUACUUCCAACUUAGAGGGCAGAAUUUCUGCACCCUCAGAAGAAACUUCCUAGAAAACAAUACGCCUUUUAUCUUCAAGAACACAGCAAAAAUCACAUCGAAGAAUUUGCAGAACUCAAAUCCGGGAAAAUCCUGUUGGAGGAAGUGUCAGAAAAAGAAACAGGGACAACCUUGAGGUCCAAGCCGUCCCUUAGAACAGACUAGUUACAGUCCAGCGCCUUCAAGGAUGCUCUGAGCCUGCUUCCACCUGCACACCCAGACAUUUCUCCCUUGCUCCCUCGGAACAGAACCACCUCAGCAGCCACGGGGGACAAUGGGAAAGGAUAGGGCAGAGGCCCAGCUGGGCCAAGACUGGUGCCAUGCUCACCAUGACAUGACCUUCACGUGUGUCCGUCUCAGGGCUGCAGUGCUGCAACCCACAGCCAAGUAUCUGGAUGCCCCCUCCUGCCCAGGGAUGCACACACAGGGAACCCUGUCCGUCACACAGAAACACAGAUGCCCGGCAGGUUCCGUAUUGCCAGCACCCUUGGUCCUUUCCCUGACAGGCUUCAAGUGAGGAGAACAAAGAAUGAGAAAGGAGCACCUGCCUCCCAGGCUCACUUGUCUCCUCAAAAGGCCUUUCUUUCCCCAGUUUGACCUUUACAAAACUACACAUUUCUACAGAC
Long non-coding RNA from Mus musculus (house mouse), 952 nucleotides. RefSeq annotates it as RIKEN cDNA 4931413K12 gene. The transcript has 2 exons. The record is from RefSeq and is marked validated. NCBI's taxonomy places the organism in Eukaryota, Metazoa, Chordata, Mammalia, Rodentia, Muridae.